Molecule: ribosomal RNA, 973 nt
Filed under: Staphylococcus aureus
Lineage: Bacteria; Bacillati; Bacillota; Bacilli; Caryophanales; Staphylococcaceae
Description: partial 23S ribosomal RNA
Rfam family: Bacterial large subunit ribosomal RNA
Source: RNAcentral
GGCGAGCGAAACGGGAAGAGCCCAAACCAACAAGCUUGCUUGUUGGGGUUGUAGGACACUCUAUACGGAGUUACAAAGGACGACAUUAGACGAAUCAUCUGGAAAGAUGAAUCAAAGAAGGUAAUAAUCCUGUAGUCGAAAAUGUUGUCUCUCUUGAGUGGAUCCUGAGUACGACGGAGCACGUGAAAUUCCGUCGGAAUCUGGGAGGACCAUCUCCUAAGGCUAAAUACUCUCUAGUGACCGAUAGUGAACCAGUACCGUGAGGGAAAGGUGAAAAGCACCCCGGAAGGGGAGUGAAAUAGAACCUGAAACCGUGUGCUUACAAGUAGUCAGAGCCCGUUAAUGGGUGAUGGCGUGCCUUUUGUAGAAUGAACCGGCGAGUUACGAUUUGAUGCAAGGUUAAGCAGUAAAUGUGGAGCCGUAGCGAAAGCGAGUCUGAAUAGGGCGUUUAGUAUUUGGUCGUAGACCCGAAACCAGGUGAUCUACCCUUGGUCAGGUUGAAGUUCAGGUAACACUGAAUGGAGGACCGAACCGACUUACGUUGAAAAGUGAGCGGAUGAACUGAGGGUAGCGGAGAAAUUCCAAUCGAACCUGGAGAUAGCUGGUUCUCUCCGAAAUAGCUUUAGGGCUAGCCUCAAGUGAUGAUUAUUGGAGGUAGAGCACUGUUUGGACGAGGGGCCCCUCUCGGGUUACCGAAUUCAGACAAACUCCGAAUGCCAAUUAAUUUAACUUGGGAGUCAGAACAUGGGUGAUAAGGUCCGUGUUCGAAAGGGAAACAGCCCAGACCACCAGCUAAGGUCCCAAAAUAUAUGUUAAGUGGAAAAGGAUGUGGCGUUGCCCAGACAACUAGGAUGUUGGCUUAGAAGCAGCCAUCAUUUAAAGAGUGCGUAAUAGCUCACUAGUCGAGUGACACUGCGCCGAAAAUGUACCGGGGCUAAACAUAUUACCGAAGCUGUGGAUUGUCCUUUGGACA